UUGGAUUUAGUUUAAUUAAAAUUUUUGUUUUUGGAUCAAGAGAUGUUUCCAAG
Molecule: transfer RNA, 53 nt
Filed under: Onchocerca volvulus
Lineage: Eukaryota; Metazoa; Nematoda; Chromadorea; Rhabditida; Onchocercidae
Description: tRNA OVOC13520
Source: RNAcentral